This 266-nucleotide ribosomal RNA is filed under the name uncultured Microbacteriaceae bacterium. RNAcentral describes it as "partial 16S ribosomal RNA". It matches the Rfam family "Bacterial small subunit ribosomal RNA", at positions 355 to 633 of the family's 1533-position model. Lineage: Bacteria; Bacillati; Actinomycetota; Actinomycetes; Micrococcales; Microbacteriaceae. The record is from RNAcentral.
UGGGGAAUAUUGCACAAUGGGCGCAAGCCUGAUGCAGCAACGCCGCGUGAGGGACGACGGCCUUCGGGUUGUAAACCUCUUUUAGCAGGGAAGAAGCGAGAGUGACGGUACCUGCAGAAAAAGCACCGGCUAACUACGUGCCAGCAGCCGCGGUAAUACGUAGGGUGCAAGCGUUGUCCGGAAUUAUUGGGCGUAAAGAGCUCGUAGGCGGUUUGUCGCGUCUGCUGUGAAAACCCGAGGCUCAACCUCGGGCCUGCAGUGGGUAC